GACGAACGCUGGCGGCGUGCUUAACACAUGCAAGUCGAGCGGUAAGGCCCUUUCGGGGGUACACGAGCGGCGAACGGGUGAGUAACACGUGGGUGACCUGCCCUCAGCUCUGGGAUAAGCCUGGGAAACCGGGUCUAAUACCGGAUAUGACUCCAUGACGCAUGUUGUGGGGUGAAAGCCUUGUGCGGCUGAGGAUGGGCCCGCGGCCUAUCAGCUUGUUGGUGGGGUGAUGGCCUACCAAGGCGACGACGGGUAGCCGGCCUGAGAGGGCGACCGGCCACACUGGGACUGAGACACGGGCCCAGACUCCUACGGGAGGCAGCAGUGGGGAAUCUUGCGCAAUGGGCGAAAGCCUGACGCAGCGACGCCGCGUGAGGGAUGACGGCCUCGG
Molecule: ribosomal RNA, 391 nt
Filed under: uncultured bacterium
Lineage: Bacteria
Description: bacterial SSU rRNA
Rfam family: Bacterial small subunit ribosomal RNA
Source: RNAcentral